This 433-nucleotide ribosomal RNA is filed under the name uncultured bacterium. Its description in RNAcentral is "partial 16S ribosomal RNA". It matches the Rfam family "Bacterial small subunit ribosomal RNA", at positions 29 to 507 of the family's 1533-position model. The record is from RNAcentral.
AGCGAACGCUGGCGGCAGGCCUAACACAUGCGAGUCGAACGAACUCUUCGGAGUUAGUGGCGGACGGGUGAGUAACACGUGGGAACGUGCCUUUAGGUUCGGAAUAACUCAGGGAAACUUGUGCUAAUACCGAAUGUGCCCUUCGGGGGAAAGAUUUAUCGCCUUUAGAGCGGCCCGCGUCUGAUUAGCUAGUUGGUGAGGUAAAGGCUCACCAAGGCGACGAUCAGUAGCUGGUCUGAGAGGAUGAUCAGCCACAUUGGGACUGAGACACGGCCCAAACUCCUACGGGAGGCAGCAGUGGGGAAUCUUGCGCAAUGGGCGAAAGCCUGACGCAGCCAUGACGCGUGAAUGAUGAAGGUCUUAGGGUUGUAAAAUUCUUUCACCGGGGACGAUAAUGACGGUACCCGGAGAAGAAGCCCCGGCUAACUUCGUG